This is a long non-coding RNA of Brassica napus (rape), 1284 nucleotides long. RefSeq lists it as uncharacterized. NCBI's taxonomy places the organism in Eukaryota, Viridiplantae, Streptophyta, Magnoliopsida, Brassicales, Brassicaceae. The record is from RefSeq and is a predicted model, not a curated record. The transcript has 2 exons.
CAUAAAAAUGAAAGGUCGGAGAUGAAGCAAUGGUUUGGUCCGUUUGGAUAAUAUAUAUCCGAGAGAAGAGUCUCCAAAACUUUCUUUAAAUGUUGAAGAUGAAACCACUUUUGUGAUCAUUUGAUAUUAUAUUAAUAAAUAAUUUACUCUCCAUUACUAAUCAUCUAGUUCACUACUAUCAGUCUUUCGUUCUCAUUUGUAUACUUUUUUUUCAAUACUAGUUAUACUAAUUCGAACUAAACCUUGAUUCAGAAAAUCAAAUUGAUAAUCGUAAUCAUUAUAAAACAUAGUAAAAACAAUUUUGAACACUUGGUCUAAGUUUGUCCAUUUUUAUACUUUUUACUCUUUAAAAAUAUUUAAUUGUAAAAUUAGAUAGUGGCAACCAGAAAUUUUUUGUAUAAUGUUAUCCAAAAAAUGAAAAGUAGAUGGUGGCAACUUGAUCUCAUCUGCCUCAACUUACAGCAGUCGACGUUGCUUCUCUUUUGGUCGGCGUGUGUACCGUCGAUCCAGUCCGAGUAUUUUCUUCUUCUAUUGUAGUUUGUGUGUGGUUCUGAACUUGCUGGUUGACGUUCGUCGUUGAUUUAUCAUGGUGGAUUCUACCAGGUUUUAACCUUAUGUCCCUCUUCGUUCAGUUUCUGUUUUGGUCAUCUUGUAGAGUUUUUCUUAGUUGGUCUUUGAUUCAACAACCGUGAAGCAGCGGCAUGGGAUGAACAGUUGGUUGGUAUUGUCAUCGAGAAGAAGCUGAUUUCAGGACACCUCUCCAUCUUGUUGUUGCUAAGGGUCUUUUUCCGUCCCUUGAAUAAGGUUAUUUUCGUAGUCGUUUUGGUUUUUGUUUAUCUUUGAUGGCUUUUGUGUGUUGAAGCAGUAUAAGAGAUUAAGACUUUGAAGCGUCCAGAUAAAGGGUACAUUGAGUAGGGAGUUUAAUUUGUAUCGGGUGUUGCUUCUCUUUAGGUGUUGUUUUGGCUUCACAAAGUGGUUUGUGUGUAGUCAUCGUGAACAAGUGGUUCAGAUGAGAGUGAUGCUAUUCUUCAUGAAGUCCUCUGCGGUGCAUGCUCUCUUGCUUUGUUCGUAGCAAGAAGACCGGCUAGUCGUAGUCAAUUAAAUUUUUGUUCUAUUAUUUCUUGUUACCUUGUUUCUUGGAUUCUUUUAGUAAGGUGUAGUUAUGGUUUAUUUGUAUUGUUUAGCUGCUCAUGUUUUAUCUUUUUGAGCUUAAGUUUUUCACUAUUGAAAUUUGGUUUUCCGAGAUUAGUGCAUGUUCUGUCGGAUUGAGUGUUUCGCCAUGUA